CAGUCGCCGCGGUAAUACGGAGGGAGCUAGCGUUGUUCGGAAUCACUGGGCGUAAAGCGCACGUAGGCGGCUAUUCAAGUCAGGGGUGAAAGCCCGGGGCUCAACCCCGGAACUGCCUUUGAAACUAGAUAGCUUGAAUCUUGGAGAGGCGAGUGGAAUUCCGAGUGUAGAGGCGAAAUUCGUAGAUAUUCGGAAGAACACCAGUGGCGAAGGCGACUCGCUGGACAAGUAUUGACGCUGAGGUGCGAAAGCGUGGGGAGCAAACAGGAUUAGAUACCCGCGUAGUCCCUGUCUCUUAUAC
Molecule: ribosomal RNA, 301 nt
Filed under: uncultured bacterium
Lineage: Bacteria
Description: partial 16S ribosomal RNA
Rfam family: Bacterial small subunit ribosomal RNA
Source: RNAcentral